GUGUCAGCCGCCGCGGUAAUACGUAGGUGGCAAGCGUUGUCCGGAAUUAUUGGGCGUAAAGGGCUCGCAGGCGGUUUCUUAAGUCUGAUGUGAAAGCCCCCGGCUCAACCGGGGAGGGUCAUUGGAAACUGGGAAACUUGAGUGCAGAAGAGGAGAGUGGAAUUCCACGUGUAGCGGUGAAAUGCGUAGAGAUGUGGAGGAACACCAGUGGCGAAGGCGACUCUCUGGUCUGUAACUGACGCUGAGGAGCGAAAGCGUGGGGAGCGAACAGGAUUAGAUACCCUGGUAGUCCACGCCGUAAACGAUGAGUGCUAAGUGUUAGGGGGUUUCCGCCCCUUAGUGCUGCAGCUAACGCAUUAAGCACUCCGCCUGGGGAGUACGGUCGCAAGACUGAAACUCAAAGGAAUUGGCGG
This 413-nucleotide ribosomal RNA is filed under the name uncultured bacterium. Its description in RNAcentral is "bacterial SSU rRNA". It matches the Rfam family "Bacterial small subunit ribosomal RNA", at positions 505 to 916 of the family's 1533-position model. The record is from RNAcentral.